CUAAAGAAGGUCUAAAUAAGUUUUGUUUUAUUAGACUAGAACACUUAAGACUACACUUCCUGUAGGGAGAAUCCAAAUCCUUUAUGGUCAGUCGUCCAAAUGUUUCUGCUUUCUGAUUCUAGGGGAGAGGUCUUUGCUUUGUAUAAAGUGAGCUCCUCUGGCUUCUUUCCUGAAACCUUCACUCUGAAACCUCUGGUAAGAGGAGAACCAGGAUAGAGGAGUGGCUGAGUAAAGAGGCACUUAGAAGAAAGAACCAAGGAGAAGAGGGCGAUGGACAGUAUCCAAGGCUGCAGAGGGAUUCCCGUUUCUAAGCCAGAUUUGCUCCUUCUGUUGAAGAGAGAAGAUGUAUGGAAUCUAGAGGGAGAAGUUUGUAUAGGCAUUUGUCCAGAUUCCAUUAUUAAAGAGACAUAGAUUGAAACCAAGGAUUCAAAUCUGAAGCAAGUCAUCUGUUUGGAAGCCUUAUCUCAUCAAAAACUGGGAAAAAAUAUAGUUUGGCAUUCCAAGAUUGUAAGGCUCAGCACCAGGGUCGGCCAGCCCUGUGUGACCUUACAUGGGGUAACGAAAAGUGAAGAGUAACGAAUGGACGCUAUAUGAAAAUGCAUAGCGACAAAGUUUAUUGGAUUUACACAAAGCAUAUAAAGGAAAAAACCACAGGAAUGUAUGACUUUACAGCCCAGCACCAGCAGGAACCAAUAAUU
Molecule: long non-coding RNA, 698 nt
Filed under: Monodelphis domestica (gray short-tailed opossum)
Lineage: Eukaryota; Metazoa; Chordata; Mammalia; Didelphimorphia; Didelphidae
Description: lncRNA (ENSMODG00000042696.1)
Source: RNAcentral